RNAcentral lists this transfer RNA (82 nucleotides) under Verrucomicrobiota bacterium. Its description in RNAcentral is "Verrucomicrobia bacterium (rhizosphere metagenome) tRNA-Leu". It matches the Rfam family "tRNA". Rfam says of the family: Transfer RNA (tRNA) molecules are approximately 80 nucleotides in length. RNAcentral also lists the same sequence under 1 other name. Lineage: Bacteria; Pseudomonadati; Verrucomicrobiota. The record is from RNAcentral.
GCCGAGGUGGCGAAAUUGGCAGACGCGCCAGACUUAGGAUCUGGUCCCGAAAGGGGUAUGAGUUCGAAUCUCUUCCUCGGCA